This 374-nucleotide unclassified non-coding RNA is filed under the name soil metagenome. RNAcentral's name for it is "partial contains internal transcribed spacer 2 and large subunit ribosomal RNA". The stretch from base 1 to 120 matches the Rfam family "5.8S ribosomal RNA", at positions 35 to 154 of the family's 154-position model. The record is from RNAcentral.
GAUGAAGAACGCAGUGAAAUGCGAUAAUUAAUGUGAAUUGCAGAAUUCCGUGAAUCAUCGAGUCUUUGAACGCACAUUGCGCCUCAUGGCAUUCCGUGAGGCAUGCCCAUCUCAGCGUUAGAAAAUAUUCUCAAAUUUUAGUUUUGUGCUAAAAUUUGGAUCAUGUCAAGGAAGCUAUUACUAUUAUUGUGAUCGCUCUUUGGAAAUUGAUAGGUCUUUGAGUUGCUACUCAUAGAACGUGAUGAAUCUUUCUUCGUUCUAUUGUAAUUCACUCUGGUAGUCCUAAAACUUGUAUGCCUGUGGCAUAUCUUGUAAUUUGACCUGAGAUUGGGUAGGGAUACCCGCUGAACUUAAGCAUAUCAAUAAGCGGAGGA